Pelobates cultripes (western spadefoot toad) is the source of this 336-nucleotide non-coding RNA. NCBI's taxonomy places the organism in Eukaryota, Metazoa, Chordata, Amphibia, Anura, Pelobatidae. The record is from the annotation of a GenBank genome assembly.
CUACUACAAAUAAUGUCAGCCACUACCAAAGUCCUACGUUGAUCUGGAUUGCAGAGCUGUCUAUGCAUGUCUCAGACGGUGCUUAUCUACCUGAAUGCCUAUAGGCCAAAUGCAACACUGAAAAACAGAUUUUAGUACCGUAUUUAAAUUACAAUUUAAGAAUUAUUGUAAACACCCUCCUGAGUAUGCCACAAUAUGGGGUACAUAACAUGAUGAGCACCCAGUCCCACCUUAUCAAGUCUAAUUCUGAGUACACUAUUGUUUACAUCAAUGAGUAGUGGCCGGGUUGAUUUACAGCAGCCUGUAAAAUGUGGCCAAUUAUCCAUUACAUCUCAG